This 450-nucleotide ribosomal RNA is filed under the name uncultured bacterium. RNAcentral describes it as "partial 16S ribosomal RNA". It matches the Rfam family "Bacterial small subunit ribosomal RNA", at positions 354 to 796 of the family's 1533-position model. The record is from RNAcentral.
GUGGGGAAUUUUGGACAAUGGGCGAAAGCCUGAUCCAGCCAUGCCGCGUGCAGGAUGAAGGCCUUCGGGUUGUAAACUGCUUUUGUACGGAACGAAAAGACUCCUUCUAAUAAAGGGGGUCCAUGACGGUACCGUAAGAAUAAGCACCGGCUAACUACGUGCCAGCAGCCGCGGUAAUACGUAGGGUGCAAGCGUUAAUCGGAAUUACUGGGCGUAAAGCGUGCGCAGGCGGUUAUAUAAGACAGAUGUGAAAUCCCCGGGCUCAACCUGGGAACUGCAUUUGUGACUGUAUAGCUAGAGUACGGUAGAGGGGGAUGGAAUUCCACGUGUAGCAGUGAAAUGCGUAGAGAUGUGGAGGAACACCGAUGGCGAAGGCAGCCCCCUGGGCCAAUACUGACGCUCAUGCACGAAAGCGUGGGGAGCAAACAGGAUUAGAAACCCGAGUAGUCC